GCGUGGGGGCACCCUGACCGCAAUGCCGCGUGAGUGAAGAAGGCCUUCGGGUUGUAAAGCUCUUUUGUCAGGGAAGAAACACCGGCUCUAACACAGUCCGGGAAUGACGGUACCUGAAGAAUAAGCACCGGCUAACUACGUGCCAGCAGCCGCGGUAAUACGUGGGGUGCAAGCGCUAAUCGGAAUUACUGGGCGUAAAGCGUGCGCAGGAGGUUAUACAAGACAGGCGUGAAAUCCCCGGGCUUAACCUGGGAAUGGCGCCUGUGACUGUAUAGCUAGAGUGUGUCAGAGGGGGGUAGAAUUCCACGUGUAGCAGUGAAAUGCGUAGAUAUGUGGAGGAAUACCAAUGGCGAAGGCAGCCCCCUGGGAUAACACUGACGCUCAUGCACGGAA
This 393-nucleotide ribosomal RNA is filed under the name uncultured bacterium. RNAcentral's name for it is "bacterial SSU rRNA". It matches the Rfam family "Bacterial small subunit ribosomal RNA", at positions 359 to 758 of the family's 1533-position model. The record is from RNAcentral.